This 940-nucleotide ribosomal RNA is filed under the name Nostoc linckia z8. RNAcentral describes it as "bacterial LSU rRNA". It matches the Rfam family "Bacterial large subunit ribosomal RNA", at positions 1 to 789 of the family's 2925-position model. The record is from RNAcentral. Lineage: Bacteria; Bacillati; Cyanobacteriota; Cyanophyceae; Nostocales; Nostocaceae.
GAUUAAGUGUCGUAAGGGCAUUUGGUGGAUGCCUUGGCAUGCACAGGCGAAGAAGGACGUGAUACGCUGCGAAAAGCCGUGGGGAGCUGCGAAUAAGCUUUGAUCCAUGGAUAUCCGAAUGGGGAAACCCACCUUAGACAUCUAGAAAAUCUGUUCUGCUGAGAACUGAUGGCUUGCAUGGGGUUUCCCAUACAGGCCUAAAGGCCGUCGCCAAUCGUUUGGCGCGCCGUCCGCAGCGCAGCGAUCCGUGGGUGAUCAAAGAUCAUCCCUUGGAUCGCGACAGCGUGAGGACAAAAAACCCGGAAAGACUGGGUGGUAGGGUUCAGCACAACAGGUUUCUAGAUGUCGCGAUAAGGUAUCUAACUCUGAAUACAUAGGGGUUAGAAGCGAACGCAGGGAACUGAAACAUCUAAGUACCUGCAGGAAAGGACAUCAACCGAGACUCCGCAAGUAGUGGCGAGCGAACGCGGACCAGGCCAGUGGCAAUGAGGAAUAAAGCUGAACAGGUUGGAAAACCUGGCUAUAGUGGGUGAUAGCCCCGUAAGCGUAGAACACUCAUUGUCCUAGAGUAAGGCGGGACACGUGAAAUCCUGUCUGAACAUGGGGAGACCACUCUCCAAGCCUAAGUACUCGUGCAUGACCGAUAGCGAACAAGUACCGUGAGGGAAAGGUGAAAAGCACCCCGACAAGGGGAGUGAAAUAGAACCUGAAACCGGAUGCCUACAAGCAGUCGGAGGGCGCAAGCCUGACGGCGUACCUUUUGUAUAAUGGGUCAACGACUUAGUGUAACUAGCAAGCUUAAGCCGGUAGGUGUAGGCGCAGCGAAAGCGAGUCUGAAUAGGGCGUUUAGUUAGUUGCAUUAGACCCGAAACCGAGUGAUCUAGCCAUGAGCAGGCUGAAGGUUGGGUAACACCAACUGGAGGGCCGAACCCGCAUCUGU